GUAGUCACAUCACAUUGAAAUACACUUUCCCGUAUGAACACCGAAGUUAAGCAACAUCAACUCUGUUCAGUACCUAGAUGGGUGACCGCAUGGGAAUGCCGGAUACUGUAAG
Non-coding RNA from Acanthosepion pharaonis, 112 nucleotides. Lineage: Eukaryota; Metazoa; Mollusca; Cephalopoda; Sepiida; Sepiidae. The record is from the annotation of a GenBank genome assembly.